This is a long non-coding RNA of Schistocerca piceifrons (Central American locust), 524 nucleotides long. RefSeq lists it as uncharacterized. Lineage: Eukaryota; Metazoa; Arthropoda; Insecta; Orthoptera; Acrididae. The record is from RefSeq and is a predicted model, not a curated record. The transcript is spliced from 3 exons.
CUGGAAAAGUUGCCACAGCGUCUUUACAUCGUCUUUGUCAGAAGUGAGGUUAGUUUCUAUGUUCGUAAAUGAAUCUGGGGGCAUCGUUUGUGCAAAGUGUGAAACCUCCCCCCACUCAAGUGCUUCCAUUACCAGAGGCGCGACUACUGGAUGCUCUAUGUACCCAUCCACAUUUAGAAGAGAUAGUCAUGAAGAUUCAAAAUGACUCUUGAAGAAUUCGCACACCUGAAGAGUGGUGCACUAAGCUACUAAGAGCCCUUCGAAGAAGAACAAGAAGAAGAAUCAGAAGAAGAAGAAGUAGAAGAACAUGAAAAAAAGAGGUUCACAGGAAGAAGUACAAAAUUCAGCAAGAUGGCACAUAGCUUGAAUGUUAAAGGCUACUCGCAACUCCUAGUUACGGCUCAAAUUGCAGCCAGAUUGUAUAAAGUUGUUAUUGUGACAUGUCUAACUUCUCAGUCACUGUGAUUUAUAAUAGAUACACAAUUUCUUGCCCACCGCCAAUAAAUAUUUAAUUGGUAGCUGAA